UGACCUGUGGUGUAAUUGGCAACACAACUGAUUUUGGUUCAGUAGAGUCCAAGUUCGAGCCUUGGCAGGUCAACAA
This 76-nucleotide transfer RNA is filed under the name Odoribacter sp. Its description in RNAcentral is "tRNA-Gln". It matches the Rfam family "tRNA". Rfam says of the family: Transfer RNA (tRNA) molecules are approximately 80 nucleotides in length. Their secondary structure includes four short double-helical elements and three loops (D, anti-codon, and T loops). Further hydrogen bonds mediate the characteristic L-shaped molecular structure. tRNAs have two regions of fundamental functional importance: the anti-codon, which is responsible for specific mRNA codon recognition, and the 3' end, to which the tRNAs corresponding amino acid is attached (by aminoacyl-tRNA synthetases). tRNAs cope with the degeneracy of the genetic code in two manners: having more than one tRNA (with a specific anti-codon) for a particular amino acid; and 'wobble' base-pairing, i.e. permitting non-standard base-pairing at the 3rd anti-codon position. The record is from RNAcentral. Lineage: Bacteria; Pseudomonadati; Bacteroidota; Bacteroidia; Bacteroidales; Odoribacteraceae. RNAcentral also lists the same sequence under 2 other names.